Molecule: ribosomal RNA, 1220 nt
Filed under: Shigella flexneri
Lineage: Bacteria; Pseudomonadati; Pseudomonadota; Gammaproteobacteria; Enterobacterales; Enterobacteriaceae
Description: partial 23S ribosomal RNA
Rfam family: Bacterial large subunit ribosomal RNA
Source: RNAcentral
GACGUGCUAAUCUGCGAUAAGCGUCGGUAAGGUGAUAUGAACCGUUAUAACCGGCGAUUUCCGAAUGGGGAAACCCAGUGUGAUUCGUCACACUAUCAUUAACUGAAUCCAUAGGUUAAUGAGGCGAACCGGGGGAACUGAAACAUCUAAGUACCCCGAGGAAAAGAAAUCAACCGAGAUUCCCCCAGUAGCGGCGAGCGAACGGGGAGCAGCCCAGAGCCUGAAUCAGUGUGUGUGUUAGUGGAAGCGUCUGGAAAGGCGUGCGAUACAGGGUGACAGCCCCGUACACAAAAAUGCACAUACUGUGAGCUCGAUGAGUAGGGCGGGACACGUGGUAUCCUGUCUGAAUAUGGGGGGACCAUCCUCCAAGGCUAAAUACUCCUGACUGACCGAUAGUGAACCAGUACCGUGAGGGAAAGGCGAAAAGAACCCCGGCGAGGGGAGUGAAAAAGAACCUGAAACCGUGUACGUACAAGCAGUGGGAGCACGCUUAGGCGUGUGACUGCGUACCUUUUGUAUAAUGGGUCAGCGACUUAUAUUCUGUAGCAAGGUUAACCGAAUAGGGGAGCCGAAGGGAAACCGAGUCUUAACUGGGCGUUAAGUUGCAGGGUAUAGACCCGAAACCCGGUGAUCUAGCCAUGGGCAGGUUGAAGGUUGGGUAACACUAACUGGAGGACCGAACCGACUAAUGUUGAAAAAUUAGCGGAUGACUUGUGGCUGGGGGUGAAAGGCCAAUCAAACCGGGAGAUAGCUGGUUCUCCCCGAAAGCUAUUUAGGUAGCGCCUCGUGAAUUCAUCUCCGGGGGUAGAGCACUGUUUCGGCAAGGGGGUCAUCCCGACUUACCAACCCGAUGCAAACUGCGAAUACCGGAGAAUGUUAUUACGGGAGACACACGGCGGGUGCUAACGUCCGUCGUGAAGAGGGAAACAACCCAGACCGCCAGCUAAGGUCCCAAAGUCAUGGUUAAGUGGGAAACGAUGUGGGAAGGCCCAGACAGCCAGGAUGUUGGCUUAGAAGCAGCCAUCAUUUAAAGAAAGCGUAAUAGCUCACUGGUCGAGUCGGCCUGCGCGGAAGAUGUAACGGGGCUAAACCAUGCACCGAAGCUGCGGCAGCGACGCUUAUGCGUUGUUGGGUAGGGGAGCGUUCUGUAAGCCUGUGAAGGUGUGCUGUGAGGUAUGCUGGAGGUAUCAGAAGUGCGAAUGCUGACAUAAGUAACGAUA